This 332-nucleotide ribosomal RNA is filed under the name Potamonautes sidneyi. RNAcentral's name for it is "partial 12S ribosomal RNA". Lineage: Eukaryota; Metazoa; Arthropoda; Malacostraca; Decapoda; Potamonautidae. The record is from RNAcentral.
AUUUUCUUUAAAUUCAAAGAAUUUGGCGGUGAUUUAGUCUGGUCAGAGGAACCUGCUUUUUAAUCGAUAUAACACGUAAGAGCUUACUUAUUUUUGUUUUAGUUUGUAUACCAUCAUUAUCAGAUAAUUUUAUAAAAAAAUAAAAUUAUUAAAAGUAAUUAUAUUAGUGAAAUUAGAUCAAGGUGCAGCUUAUAAAUAAGUUAAAGUGGGUUACAAUAAGGUUUACUUAGACGAAAUAAGGUUAGUUAUGAAUCUUAGGAAGGAGGAUUUGAUUGUAAUAUAAAAUUUAAUAAGUUUAGGAGAUAGGAGCUCUGGAUUGCGUACACAUCGCC